UGAUGCACCCACGGCCCUGGGAAAGGGGUUAAUGCUCUCUAGAGGCUUCUUUGACCCAGUCUCCUGACACCCCAAGAAAGUUCUGAACUUGUCCCAUGUGCGCCUGCCUUCACUGGGAUGCCUUCAGUGCCUUCAGUGAGAUGGCUAUGAUCCCUGGAAGACCCAGCUCAGACAUACAGGUCUUCAAGGAAGUUACUUCUUCAAGACCACCCCGUGGGGAGGAGCCCUCUCAGAGCCAGACUUGGGGGAGACUCAUGGCACAGACCCCAGACCCUCAUGGACAGCAGCCUACUUUUUCUGGGCAGGUUCUCCUUCCUCUGUGCUGAGGCCUGUUCCACUCAGACUACUAAGCCCGAAGGCAGGCUCUGUGAGCCAGAUAACAGUCAGCGAUUAAUAGCAAAGGCGCAAUACUAAUAAACAUAAAUAAAUACAGUAUGAAGAGGAGCCUAAGGGUCAACGUUUGCCAAACCACUCCAUGACUGAAAAAUCCUUUGUAAAAUUAAUAUUCACUGAUUACAAAAUCAGUUUGGGCUUGAUGGUUUCUAAGACCCUUGCCAACUCUAUGCUUCUGGGUCUAUGAAGCUCUCCUAAGGAAAAGAUAUGAGCUUGUGAAUAAAAAUAAAAAUAAAAAUAAAAGGAAAUAAAACCCCA
Molecule: non-coding RNA, 651 nt
Organism: Peromyscus maniculatus bairdii (prairie deer mouse)
Lineage: Eukaryota; Metazoa; Chordata; Mammalia; Rodentia; Cricetidae
Source: RefSeq, a predicted model, not a curated record